This is a long non-coding RNA of Zea mays, 930 nucleotides long. RefSeq lists it as uncharacterized. The record is from RefSeq and is a predicted model, not a curated record. NCBI's taxonomy places the organism in Eukaryota, Viridiplantae, Streptophyta, Magnoliopsida, Poales, Poaceae. The transcript is spliced from 4 exons.
GGCUGGCCCACACGUCAACGAGAAGCACUUCUGUCCCCCCACCGCCCCCUAUAGGAUUCAGGAACCUUCUUCUUCACUGGACCGAUGCAAGUUGUUCCCCAAAUCCACUGUCGCGCGCCCUUGCCGCUCAAUCUCCGCUCACAUUCACCAAGAAGCACUUCUGUCCCCCCCACCGCCCCCUCAAAACCCCCUGUUGGCGCUGCAUCCACGUUCACGUCGCUUGAGGAGGUGAGCACUCGGAUCUAGCUAGGUGCCGCAAGCGAGACCAUGCCAUGUUCCAUCUCCACGCACUUUUCUCGUGAGCACGCUCUGCCAUCCCGCCUCCUCCUAGUAACGCGUUGCUCAAGGUUACUGGAUCUGGUGAGUCACCGUUCAGAGUUGGGUUCCUGUUCCUGGGGCGCUUCUUCUUACGUUCGCAGGUGGAGCGUCCGUGGAGGAGGCGGCGGGGUAUUGAUGGAAGUGGUACCCUUGAUGGAUAGCAAGGGAAGAAAACUUGACGGUUAAUCCUAAAAGAUGGUGAGUGCUCUAUCUUGGAGACUUCGAAGAUGGAGAAUCUUGGAAGAACAAUCAAAAGGAUGGAAACACCUUUCCACAGUGGUAGCGCCAGAACAGCCGUCGACGGCUUCAAGCUCCUACGUGUGUUUCCGGCGUUUGGUUGUUGCGUCUGUACCCUGCUGGACUCAGCCGACGGGAUACCUAGGACCUAAAUGGAUGUUCUGAGAGUUGUAGUCGGUGGGCUGCUGUAGACUCGUAGCCGGCGGGCUGCUGUGAGACUCGUGGACUUAUUUGGGCAAAACUGAUUUGUAACUCACGUGUGUAUGGAUCUGGUCGAUGUGGGAUUUUUUGGGCAAAAUAUAUUUCAACGUGACAUGUAUGGGUCUAGACAUAUAUGGAUCUAGACAUUAUAUUAUUUAUUAUAUUUAUUCUUCA